CUUGAUGGCUUAGAGGUUAAAAGCAUCUGCCUCCAAUGCGGGAGACCUGGGUUCGAUCCCUGGGUCAGGA
This 70-nucleotide transfer RNA is filed under the name Ovis aries (sheep). It matches the Rfam family "tRNA". Rfam says of the family: Transfer RNA (tRNA) molecules are approximately 80 nucleotides in length. Their secondary structure includes four short double-helical elements and three loops (D, anti-codon, and T loops). Lineage: Eukaryota; Metazoa; Chordata; Mammalia; Artiodactyla; Bovidae. The record is from Rfam by way of RNAcentral.